RNAcentral lists this ribosomal RNA (357 nucleotides) under Triticum aestivum (bread wheat). Its description in RNAcentral is "partial small subunit ribosomal RNA". Lineage: Eukaryota; Viridiplantae; Streptophyta; Magnoliopsida; Poales; Poaceae. The record is from RNAcentral.
AUGAGGCAUAUGACAUUGGUGUCAUGUUCAUCCCCGCCGACAACCAUAGCCCGAGCCACGAUCUUUUCUUUGAUUAUGACCUUGGCCUCUGCCAUGACAGCAGUGUCAUGUUCCUCUACAGUGAUGAUCACCACGUCCACCAUGCCAAAGGCGCCGUUCUCCUAUAUCUCUCCAUGCCCGCAAGCUAGUCAUGUAAUUCUCCAUCGAUCUCAUCUAUGGAAUCUCAGUUUAGAGGGUGUGCCCGAAACCCUAACUCAUCUUCGUUAUUGGACAUGGACACAUGGUGUUGCAAUAGAGUGGAAAACAAGGAGGACAAUGGAACGAACAGAAUUGGCAUCGUCAUCGAUCUCACUCUGA